UACGAAGGUCCCGAGCGUUAUCCGGAUUUAUUGGGCGUAAAGGGUGCGUAGGCGGGUUAUUAAGUCAGUGGUGAAAGCCUUCAGCUCAACUGAAGAACUGCCAUUGAUACUGAUGAUCUUGAGUACGAUUGAGGUAGGCGGAAUGUGUCAUGUAGCGGUGAAAUGCUUAGAUAUGACACAGAACACCGAUUGCGAAGGCAGCUUACUAAGUCGUAACUGACGCUGAUGCACGAAAGCGUGGGGAGCAAACAGG
Molecule: ribosomal RNA, 253 nt
Filed under: uncultured bacterium
Lineage: Bacteria
Description: partial 16S ribosomal RNA
Rfam family: Bacterial small subunit ribosomal RNA
Source: RNAcentral